Molecule: small nucleolar RNA, 70 nt
Organism: Molossus molossus (Pallas's mastiff bat)
Lineage: Eukaryota; Metazoa; Chordata; Mammalia; Chiroptera; Molossidae
Product: small nucleolar RNA SNORD104
Exons: 1
Source: RefSeq, a predicted model, not a curated record
GCGGUGAUGACAUAUCAAUCAAAGCACGUGUUAGACUGCUGACAAGGGUGAUGCGAAUUGUAGUCUGAGC